CAGGUGCUGCAUGGCUGUCGUCAGCUCGUGUCGUGAGAUGUUCGGUUAAGUCCGCUAACGAGCGCAACCCUCGCUGUGUGUUACAAGUGUCACACGGAACUGCCGGUCAUAAACCGGAGGAAGGUGGGGAUGACGUCAAGUCAGCAUGGCCUUUAUAUCCUGGGCUACACACACGCUACAAUGGGAAGGGACAAUAGGUUGCGAAGCCGCGAGGCGGAGCCAAUCCAGCAAAACUUCCCUCAGUUCAGAUUGCAGGCUGCAACUCGCCUGCAUGAAGUUGGAGUUGCUAGUAAACGCAGGUCAGCCAUACUGCGUUGAAUACGUUCCCGGGGCUU
RNAcentral lists this ribosomal RNA (335 nucleotides) under uncultured Anaerolineaceae bacterium. RNAcentral's name for it is "bacterial SSU rRNA". It matches the Rfam family "Bacterial small subunit ribosomal RNA", at positions 1035 to 1382 of the family's 1533-position model. Lineage: Bacteria; Bacillati; Chloroflexota; Anaerolineae; Anaerolineales; Anaerolineaceae. The record is from RNAcentral.